RNAcentral lists this ribosomal RNA (253 nucleotides) under uncultured bacterium. RNAcentral describes it as "partial 16S ribosomal RNA". It matches the Rfam family "Bacterial small subunit ribosomal RNA", at positions 524 to 776 of the family's 1533-position model. The record is from RNAcentral.
UACGAAGGGGGCUAGCGUUGCUCGGAAUCACUGGGCGUAAAGGGUGCGUAGGCGGGUCUUUAAGUCAGGGGUGAAAUCCUGGAGCUCAACUCCAGAACUGCCUUUGAGACUGCAUCGCUAGAAUUGUGGAGAGGUAAGUGGAAUUCCGAGUGUAGAGGUGAAAUUCGUAGAUAUUCGGAAGAACACCAGUGGCGAAGGCGACUUACUGGACACAUAUUGACGCUGAGGUGCGAAAGCGUGGGGAGCAAACAGG